This is a long non-coding RNA of Seriola aureovittata, 1095 nucleotides long. RefSeq lists it as uncharacterized. The record is from RefSeq and is a predicted model, not a curated record. Lineage: Eukaryota; Metazoa; Chordata; Actinopteri; Carangiformes; Carangidae. The transcript has 3 exons.
GUUUAUUAUCCCUGCGUCAUUGGUCAUCGGGCUCACCUGGUGAAAACGGUCCUUUAGCUUUAAACAUGGAGGCCAUGGUUUGCUAAUCGCCAGACAAACCAAAAGAAGAAGAGGGAAAACAUGGCGUCGCUCCACCUGUUGGUGGGAGAGCAGAGCUGUUAGCAUGGCUGUUCGAUAGCCCAGAUAUAGUGACUUGAAGCCAUUAUUCUCUAGUAAAUAUCUCUACCACUUCCUAUUCCACGACGAAGUUUUUCUGAAAGCAAAUGCUGUGCUUACCUGAACCUGUCAACCACUUAGCAUGAGCUGUUGUAGUUAGAGGCCGUUAAUUAGCUAGCUUAAUUAGCUAGUUGUUUAACAUCUCUCCUCUACCAACAGUAUUUCUGAGAAGCCACGGGGUCAGGGCGAGUUGAAUCUCAUGUCAGAAUUGUCCCCACAUUGACCUGCGCCUGACUGGCCUCCCAGCAAAAAGCCCCUGUGAAGCAGAAGGCAGAGAGAGGGCUGCGCUGAUCCGAAGGUGAAAAACAUCCUCCUCCUCUCCCCCGGCUGAACAUCUGUCUCUGUGGUGUUGGCUGCAGUACAGACUCUGACACCUCCAGAUGGAGAGCCCACUGGGAGCACUGAGGUAUUACCUACAAAGAUGGCAGGGAUCACACCUCUGGAAUGAAGUCCCACACUUGUUUUCUGCACCGUCCCCUUUUUUUGUUGUUGAAUCUGUCACUAUUCGCCAUAUCGAUUGUCGCCUCCCCAGUCCUUGGCCUUGUGACUCAUCUGAAGGGGAAAGCUUUGGGCUUAUAAAGAAAUGCAUGACAACAAACCUCUUAGCCCUUUUCUAAUUUACAGUAAUGGGCCGUAUGGUAUUUCCACUGUAACUUCUAUUCGUGGAAGUGUAUUAAUUUUUAAUAUAGUUGUGAGAGAACUGCAUACUCAGGCAGAUAUAUUUCAAAUGAUUGCUGAUUUCCAUUUCCUUGAAACAUGUUUUCCAGAGGCCUAAAACUAUUUAAAGUUCGCACAAACUACAACACUGGCUAAAUGGCUUAUAACCGUAUGAAGCCUAAAUAUUAAAAGCAAUACCUGCAAAAAAAAGAAAAAAGUCUA